UACGUAGGGGGCAAGCGUUGUCCGGAUUUAUUGGGCGUAAAGAGCGUGUAGGCGGCCCGGUAAGUCCGCUGUGAAAGUCGGGGGCUCAACCCUCGAAUGCCGGUGGAUACUGUCGGGCUAGAGUGCGGAAGAGGCGAGUGGAAUUCCUGGUGUAGCGGUGAAAUGCGCAGAUAUCAGGAGGAACACCAAUUGCGAAGGCAGCUCGCUGGGACGUAACUGACGCUGAGACGCGGAAGCGUGGGGAGCAAACAGG
This 253-nucleotide ribosomal RNA is filed under the name uncultured bacterium. RNAcentral's name for it is "partial 16S ribosomal RNA". It matches the Rfam family "Bacterial small subunit ribosomal RNA", at positions 524 to 776 of the family's 1533-position model. The record is from RNAcentral.